This 500-nucleotide ribosomal RNA is filed under the name uncultured bacterium. RNAcentral describes it as "bacterial SSU rRNA". It matches the Rfam family "Bacterial small subunit ribosomal RNA", at positions 8 to 507 of the family's 1533-position model. The record is from RNAcentral.
ACGAGUUGAUCAGUGGCUCGAGGACGAACGCUGGCGGCGUGCUUAACACAUGCAAGUCGAACGGAACUUAUUGGAUCAAGACUUCGGUCAAGUGAAUUAAGUUAGUGGCGGACGGGUGAGUAACGCGUGAGGAACCUGCCUUUCAGAGGGGGACAACAGUUGGAAACGACUGCUAAUACCGCAUAACGCAUAUUGAUCGCAUGGUCGAUAUGCCAAAGAUUUAUCGCUGAAAGAUGGCCUCGCGUCUGAUUAGCUAGUUGGUGAGGUAACGGCCCACCAAGGCGACGAUCAGUAGCCGGACUGAGAGGUUGACCGGCCACAUUGGGACUGAGAUACGGCCCAGACUCCUACGGGAGGCAGCAGUGGGGAAUAUUGGGCAAUGGGCGCAAGCCUGACCCAGCAACGCCGCGUGAAGGAAGAAGGCUUUCGGGUUGUAAACUUCUUUUGUCAGGGAAGAGUAGAAGACUGUACCUGGCGAAUAAGCCACGGCUAACUACGUG